AGCAGCCGCGGUAAUUCCAGCUCCAAUAGCGUAUAUUAAAGUUGUUGCAGUUAAAAAGCUCGUAGUUGAAUUUCGGGAUCAUCAGGUUGGUCGUGCCUCUGGUAUGUACUGAUUUCGAUGGUUCCUCCUUCUUGAAGAACCGUAAUGCCAUUAAUCUGGUGUUGCGGGGAAACAGGACUGUUACUUUGAAAAAAUUAGAGUGUUUAAAGCAGGCAAUCGCUUGAAUACAUUAGCAUGGAAUAAUGAAAUAGGACGUUCGAUCCUAUUUUGUUGGUUUCUAGGAUUGACGUAAUGAUUAAUAGGGAUAGUUGGGGGCAUUAGUAUUCAAUUGUCAGAGGUGAAAUUCUUGGAUUUAUUGAAGACUAACUACUGCGAAAGCAUUUGCCAAGGAUGUUUUCAUUAAUCAAGAACGGAAGUUAGGGGAUCGAAGACGAUCAGAUACCGUCGUAGUCUUAACCAUAAACUAUGCCGACUAGGGAUCGGAUGAUGUUAAUUUUUAAUGA
RNAcentral lists this ribosomal RNA (503 nucleotides) under uncultured Glomus. RNAcentral describes it as "SSU rRNA". It matches the Rfam family "Eukaryotic small subunit ribosomal RNA", at positions 569 to 1074 of the family's 1831-position model. The record is from RNAcentral. Lineage: Eukaryota; Fungi; Glomeromycota; Glomeromycetes; Glomerales; Glomeraceae.